UGUCUAGCCAGCCUGCCUGCCUUUG
Molecule: non-coding RNA, 25 nt
Filed under: Mus musculus (house mouse)
Lineage: Eukaryota; Metazoa; Chordata; Mammalia; Rodentia; Muridae
Source: RNAcentral